GGAACAGUAGCAAAGUUGGUCAAUGCAAUGCACUGAAAAUGCAAAGAUAUAGGUUCGAUUCCUGUCUGUUCCA
RNAcentral lists this transfer RNA (73 nucleotides) under Gaetbulibacter sp. S0825. RNAcentral's name for it is "tRNA-Phe". It matches the Rfam family "tRNA". Rfam says of the family: Transfer RNA (tRNA) molecules are approximately 80 nucleotides in length. Their secondary structure includes four short double-helical elements and three loops (D, anti-codon, and T loops). RNAcentral also lists the same sequence under 1 other name. Lineage: Bacteria; Pseudomonadati; Bacteroidota; Flavobacteriia; Flavobacteriales; Flavobacteriaceae. The record is from RNAcentral.